CGAGGCCAGGCAGUCGGCGCGGCAGUCCGUACCGUGCUUUCUCCGAUAGGCGACGACGAGGACGCCGCGGUGCGCGAGCUAGCGCAAGCUCUUGUCGCGCGGCGUCACCAGUAGUUUCCCAUCCGCGCUCUACCGGCGGGCAGCCAUGUGCGUCGAGUUCGUGAUCUUCGUGCGCAACCUGGGAGCCCUGGUCAGAGCCACGGUGGGAGGUCACUCCGUCGAUCGGCCACAGCCAAUGGACACACCCGAACUCGGCGGUCGUGCGGUUGAGCGAUCGAGUCGGGAGGUGGGCACCAAGGUGAAGGAGUCCUAGGCUGUGACGUAGCCGUGGCCGGUGCAGCUGCGGGUACCCUCCUCGUUCGUGACCACUGACACCACUACUACACCACCACCUUCCGCUGGUUCCCGGUACGGCGAGGCCUGCGCGGGGCACGUGACUUUGCCAUCUUUUGGGCAGAAACCAACAUCUCCGGCGCCGGGCUGCCCACCGCAUCGCGGGCGGAAUCGUCGGUUGUAAAACACGAUGGUUGUUACAUUGAUGGUUGUAAAAGCAUGAGAAACGUAGCACCCACGUGGUCUCACGUACACACCCACACACCUUCGUCACACGGCAGAGUUUGAACUUUCGUACUUUCAAUCAAAGCGCCGAUAUAGAACGAGACAGGUACCGAAAACGUUUAGUAAUGCGGUCCGGUAAUUCCAUAUGUUUGCGGCGUCACCCUCGAGGAAAUGGUGCGGAAUCUGCGCUGGUGUGCUCCCCGUGUCCAAGUCGUGAAGAAUAACGCUGAAAACAUACGAAAUUAUUCAGCUGUCUACGGAAAUGGUACAAGGGGGAAAAGAGUGAGGAGGUGGCAGUGCAACUGAAAAACCGCAGCACAUAGCUUGUUACUGCACGGUCAGAGACAGAACGGGGACGUUACAGAAUAUCCUCCUGGGACCGGGCAAUAGGAAAUUUGUCCAACAAUUGUCACAAUCAAAAUCUUGGUGCAACAGUUCUGAAAGCAUCUCUUGAGACCACACUCAAACACGUUAGUCAGCUGGUACUACCAUGCCAAUACCACUACCUGCGCCGCAAGCCUGUGAGUAUGGUCUAAAUCACAUUGCUCCACGCCUUACCUCUGAGUUCCCAAUCUGGUAGGAAUCACCACGAUUGCGUUUUGCUGUGACUGUCGGGUCCGUUAGUACGUGUAGGCGCAUUUUGGCAUGUACUUUCACAUCGUUUAAGGGGACACUAAAGAUAAAUCCAAACGUACGAUCUUUUAGUGAAUCACACUUUACGCGACAGGCAGGACGUCCGCAUUGACUACGAGCGGAGGCUUGGUAAUACGGACAAGGGGCGCUAAACCUAGACUGGUGGCGACGCGGGUCCAGUUAAUAAUUUCGUGAUAAGUAAGGACCACCGUUGCACUAUAUAGAAACCAACUACUCAAACUAGCAGUUCUCGAUUACAUUACCGGCUGUAAUAUAGCCCAAAUUCUAAAAUAUAUUUAGAAAUCUGUGGCCGCGCCCCGGCGUUGAGGUUAAUUCAGCGAAAUACAAAAGUGAAAUCCGGUCUUCGUUUCCUCUAUUAUUGAUCGAAAUUUUAUGCCAAGUAAAGGAAUAUAGCGUUUAGAUGUUGGCUCUCGGAUCCUCGAUGACGCCAUUUUAGCGCAUUUGUCAGUAUUGAUAACAAUACAACAAUCUCGCUGAAAGACGUAUUUGAGCGCAGAAAAGUACCUCCAGAUACACAGCGGACGAGGACCCAUCGUAAAUUUCGAAACGUCUGCACAGGCGGAGCUUUAUUUAUUUUAACUUUUUUAUUGGUUUUUGCCCAAAUUAGCAUAACUGGUGGGACGAAAUUCAGUUUGGCAUACCGUAGUAUAUAGGGUGUCCCAGCUAGCGUUAGCCAAUCCGUUCAACGAUAAAAAAAAAUUAUUGAUAAAGACAGGGCGCAAGAUACAGUCUUAAGACCUGCGCUGUUCGAUCAUCAGCGUUCUGACAGCCUAACACAGUAUAUCUGAAACCGUGUCUUGCACCAUUCCUUUCUUUUUUUUUUUUUUCAACGGCUUGGCUAGCGUUAGCUGGGACACACAGUGUAACGCAGCGCUUGCACGCUUGCAC
Molecule: long non-coding RNA, 2100 nt
Filed under: Dermacentor andersoni
Lineage: Eukaryota; Metazoa; Arthropoda; Arachnida; Ixodida; Ixodidae
Description: uncharacterized LOC126524601
Source: RNAcentral